RNAcentral lists this long non-coding RNA (833 nucleotides) under Rattus norvegicus (Norway rat). RNAcentral's name for it is "long non-coding RNA NONRATT019102". The record is from RNAcentral. Lineage: Eukaryota; Metazoa; Chordata; Mammalia; Rodentia; Muridae.
UGUUGCCGGGUGAGGUUCUUGCCAGUUAGCUCUCCUUCAAACCACCGAUGCCAUGGUCUGCAGACCUAGAAGCCCACCCUGUUAUGGGAGUCGCUGUGACGGCGGUGCAAGUCCGAAGUCCCCUAUGAGAUGGAGUCUCGGACAGAAGUGCAGAGCAGAUGGAAGGGACUGGAAGCCUGAGGACUCCAAGGAAGGCGAGCUCCAGACUGAGGACCAUCAACCUAGAAGCUUUACAACUCCUGAAGGCCAUAAGCCCCUUUCUAGAUGUUCUGACUGGGCAAGCGCAGUUGAAGAAGAUGACAUGAGGACCAGAGUUAACAAAGAGAUUGCAAGGUACAAAAGAAAGCUACUCAUAAAUGACUUUGGAAGACAGAGAAAAUCAUCAUCGAGAAGUUCUGAUUCAAAGAAGUCUGUGUCUUCGGUGCCUACUGACAUGGAGACAGAUGCAAGUGUCUUGAUGGAAGGCAGAAGCAGAUCAACUACAGGAAGAACACUAUGGCCUAUGAUCAAUACAUUAAAGAGAUGCCCAGACACCUGUGAUAUCCCAGGACCUCCAACAAAUUUAAGAAAUAUAGCCUGUGGUCAUGGGACCAACAGAUUAAACUCUGGAAGGUGGCUUUGCAUUUUUGGGAUCCUCCUGCUGAAGAAGGGUAUGAUUUGCAAGAAAUACAACAUGUAGAUCUUGGGGAAAUGGAGACAGAAUUCACAGAAAGCAGUUGUGAGUCCCAGACAAGUUCACAGAAUAACUUUGAUGUAUAUGCUGGCACACUCACCAAAGUCAGACAUGUGGAUUGCCAAGUGGAGGAUGAGUUUGAUUUGGAAGCUUAACUGAA